This is a long non-coding RNA of Zingiber officinale, 657 nucleotides long. RefSeq lists it as uncharacterized. The transcript is spliced from 2 exons. NCBI's taxonomy places the organism in Eukaryota, Viridiplantae, Streptophyta, Magnoliopsida, Zingiberales, Zingiberaceae. The record is from RefSeq and is a predicted model, not a curated record.
UCCUUGUGAUUCGAUGAGAUGAAUGAUUAUGAGUGUGAGCCGGCACCCUUCUACCGCAUCAAAACAUGGGAUUCUUGUGGAGCAGCACCGAUAAAUAACCAGACUACUAUCAGAGGUGUUCAUCAGCGAUGAUCCAAGUGGGGGAGUGUCAUGGAAGGGAAGUGCAAGAAGGCUCAUCAAAGCUGCUCUCCAUGAAGCAGCUAGAAAACGAGAGAUGCGAUAUUCAGACCUGAAAAGGAUUGACAAGAAGGUCCGCCGACAUUUUCAUGAUGACAUAACUGUUAUCAUUAUUUUCCUUAAUCACGAUCCUACAGUCAAAUCCGCACAAGGGCCUCAUUUAUCAGUUAGAAGUGCUUUGGAUCACUGAUCUGUUAACACUGCCAUGGAACAAGGUUGCUUGAUGUAAAGACUACAUGUAGCUGAGACUGCUAUAUAAGAUGAGGAAAUCAAUCUGGAAACUUAUGUGUAGGGAGGUUUCGAUUACCACACAAAGGAUGUUUCCCCCACUUUUUUUGGAAAAAAAAUGUUUAUGUUAUGUUCUAAAUUAUUGUGCUGUCAGCUAUGUAAUUUAUCAAAUGAGAUAGCCAAUGGUAAUAAAUAUGUUCUCAAUGUUCUAAAAAUUAAAGUGAAGUGCUUUCAUGAUUUUCUUCCCUUGAA